UACGUAGGGGGCAAGCGUUGUCCGGAUUUAUUGGGCGUAAAGAGCGUGUAGGCGGCUUUGCAGGUCCGCUGUGAAAACUCGAGGCUCAACCUCGAGCUGUCGGUGGAAACCGUAAAGCUAGAGUCCGGAAGAGGAGAGUGGAAUUCCCGGUGUAGCGGUGAAAUGCGCAGAUAUCGGGAAGAACACCCGUGGCGAAGGCGGCUCUCUGGGACGGUACUGACGCUGAGGCGCGAAAGCGUGGGGAGCGAACAGG
This 253-nucleotide ribosomal RNA is filed under the name uncultured bacterium. Its description in RNAcentral is "partial 16S ribosomal RNA". It matches the Rfam family "Bacterial small subunit ribosomal RNA", at positions 524 to 776 of the family's 1533-position model. The record is from RNAcentral.